UCAAGAUGUGCGGCAGGUGAUGACUUCCUUGGGGGGAAAUUUGGACACAGACAUGCACGGAGGGAAGACGAUGUGAAGAGUCACAGGGAGAAGAAGGCCAUGUAGCUGGAGUGAAUUACAAGCCAAGGAAGGCCAAGGAUUGCUGCAAACACCAAAAGCCAAAAGAGGCAAGGAAGGAUUCUCCCCCACAGCCUCCAGACCGCACCUGGCCCUGUGGACACCUGCGCCUCGAAAUUCUAGUCUUCAUAACUGUGAGCCAAGUGAGGAUUUUCAACAGAAAGAGCUUCAGUGAUGGUUCGAAGCUGCAGAAAUAAUGUCGGGAAUGCGUUAUUGGAUGCAAAUGUUAGAGAAAUGUGAGGAGCCUAAAUAAUUCUUCCUGUUUACUUUGCAUAACUGAGCCUGUACUCCUAUUAGAAAGAGAGAGAGGUUUUCCUAUAGUAUUUUCUGUAGGAAAAAAAGAAUGCACGGGUUUUAUAUUUUGUAGUGGGAGACUCAGGUUAAAAUACUAACUUAAGUGUUUG
RNAcentral lists this long non-coding RNA (521 nucleotides) under Equus caballus (horse). RNAcentral describes it as "lncRNA (ENSECAG00000051567.1)". Lineage: Eukaryota; Metazoa; Chordata; Mammalia; Perissodactyla; Equidae. The record is from RNAcentral.